Molecule: ribosomal RNA, 2905 nt
Filed under: Escherichia coli
Lineage: Bacteria; Pseudomonadati; Pseudomonadota; Gammaproteobacteria; Enterobacterales; Enterobacteriaceae
Description: 23S ribosomal RNA
Rfam family: Bacterial large subunit ribosomal RNA
Source: RNAcentral
GGUUAAGCGACUAAGCGUACACGGUGGAUGCCCUGGCAGUCAGAGGCGAUGAAGGACGUGCUAAUCUGCGAUAAGCGUCGGUAAGGUGAUAUGAACCGUUAUAACCGGCGAUUUCCGAAUGGGGAAACCCAGUGUGAUUCGUCACACUAUCAUUAACUGAAUCCAUAGGUUAAUGAGGCGAACCGGGGGAACUGAAACAUCUAAGUACCCCGAGGAAAAGAAAUCAACCGAGAUUCCCCCAGUAGCGGCGAGCGAACGGGGAGGAGCCCAGAGCCUGAAUCAGUGUGUGUGUUAGUGGAAGCGUCUGGAAAGGCGCGCGAUACAGGGUGACAGCCCCGUACACAAAAAUGCACAUACUGUGAGCUCGAUGAGUAGGGCGGGACACGUGGUAUCCUGUCUGAAUAUGGGGGGACCAUCCUCCAAGGCUAAAUACUCCUGACUGACCGAUAGUGAACCAGUACCGUGAGGGAAAGGCGAAAAGAACCCCGGCGAGGGGAGUGAAAAAGAACCUGAAACCGUGUACGUACAAGCAGUGGGAGCCUCUUAAUGGGGUGACUGCGUACCUUUUGUAUAAUGGGUCAGCGACUUAUAUUCUGUAGCAAGGUUAACCGAAUAGGGGAGCCGAAGGGAAACCGAGUCUUAACUGGGCGUUAAGUUGCAGGGUAUAGACCCGAAACCCGGUGAUCUAGCCAUGGGCAGGUUGAAGGUUGGGUAACACUAACUGGAGGACCGAACCGACUAAUGUUGAAAAAUUAGCGGAUGACUUGUGGCUGGGGGUGAAAGGCCAAUCAAACCGGGAGAUAGCUGGUUCUCCCCGAAAGCUAUUUAGGUAGCGCCUCGUGAAUUCAUCUCCGGGGGUAGAGCACUGUUUCGGCAAGGGGGUCAUCCCGACUUACCAACCCGAUGCAAACUGCGAAUACCGGAGAAUGUUAUCACGGGAGACACACGGCGGGUGCUAACGUCCGUCGUGAAGAGGGAAACAACCCAGACCGCCAGCUAAGGUCCCAAAGUCAUGGUUAAGUGGGAAACGAUGUGGGAAGGCCCAGACAGCCAGGAUGUUGGCUUAGAAGCAGCCAUCAUUUAAAGAAAGCGUAAUAGCUCACUGGUCGAGUCGGCCUGCGCGGAAGAUGUAACGGGGCUAAACCAUGCACCGAAGCUGCGGCAGCGACGCUUAUGCGUUGUUGGGUAGGGGAGCGUUCUGUAAGCCUGUGAAGGUGUACUGUGAGGUAUGCUGGAGGUAUCAGAAGUGCGAAUGCUGACAUAAGUAACGAUAAAGCGGGUGAAAAGCCCGCUCGCCGGAAGACCAAGGGUUCCUGUCCAACGUUAAUCGGGGCAGGGUGAGUCGACCCCUAAGGCGAGGCCGAAAGGCGUAGUCGAUGGGAAACAGGUUAAUAUUCCUGUACUUGGUGUUACUGCGAAGGGGGGACGGAGAAGGCUAUGUUGGCCGGGCGACGGUUGUCCCGGUUUAAGCGUGUAGGCUGGUUUUCCAGGCAAAUCCGGAAAACUAAGGCUGAGGCGUGAUGACGAGGCACUACGGUGCUGAAGCAACAAAUGCCCUGCUUCCAGGAAAAGCCUCUAAGCAUCAGGUAACAUCAAAUCGUACCCCAAACCGACACAGGUGGUCAGGUAGAGAAUACCAAGGCGCUUGAGAGAACUCGGGUGAAGGAACUAGGCAAAAUGGUGCCGUAACUUCGGGAGAAGGCACGCUGAUAUGUAGGUGAAGCGACUUGCUCGUGGAGCUGAAAUCAGUCGAAGAUACCAGCUGGCUGCAACUGUUUAUUAAAAACACAGCACUGUGCAAACACGAAAGUGGACGUAUACGGUGUGACGCCUGCCCGGUGCCGGAAGGUUAAUUGAUGGGGUUAGCGGUAACGCGAAGCUCUUGAUCGAAGCCCCGGUAAACGGCGGCCGUAACUAUAACGGUCCUAAGGUAGCGAAAUUCCUUGUCGGGUAAGUUCCGACCUGCACGAAUGGCGUAAUGAUGGCCAGGCUGUCUCCACCCGAGACUCAGUGAAAUUGAACUCGCUGUGAAGAUGCAGUGUACCCGCGGCAAGACGGAAAGACCCCGUGAACCUUUACUAUAGCUUGACACUGAACAUUGAGCCUUGAUGUGUAGGAUAGGUGGGAGGCUUUGAAGUGUGGACGCCAGUCUGCAUGGAGCCGGCCUUGAAAUACCACCCUUUAAUGUUUGAUGUUCUAACGUUGGCCCCUGAUCGGGGUUGCGGACAGUGUCUGGUGGGUAGUUUGACUGGGGCGGUCUCCUCCUAAAGAGUAACGGAGGAGCACGAAGGUUGGCUAAUCCUGGUCGGACAUCAGGAGGUUAGUGCAAUGGCAUAAGCCAGCUUGACUGCGAGCGUGACGGCGCGAGCAGGUGCGAAAGCAGGUCAUAGUGAUCCGGUGGUUCUGAAUGGAAGGGCCAUCGCUCAACGGAUAAAAGGUACUCCGGGGAUAACAGGCUGAUACCGCCCAAGAGUUCAUAUCGACGGCGGUGUUUGGCACCUCGAUGUCGGCUCAUCACAUCCUGGGGCUGAAGUAGGUCCCAAGGGUAUGGCUGUUCGCCAUUUAAAGUGGUACGCGAGCUGGGUUUAGAACGUCGUGAGACAGUUCGGUCCCUAUCUGCCGUGGGCGCUGGAGAACUGAGGGGGGCUGCUCCUAGUACGAGAGGACCGGAGUGGACGCAUCACUGGUGUUCGGGUUGUCAUGCCAAUGGCACUGCCCGGUAGCUAAAUGCGGAAGAGAUAAGUGCUGAAAGCAUCUAAGCACGAAACUUGCCCCGAGAUGAGUUCUCCCUGACUCCUUGAGAGUCCUGAAGGAACGUUGAAGACGACGACGUUGAUAGGCCGGGUGUGUAAGCGCAGCGAUGCGUUGAGCUAACCGGUACUAAUGAACCGUGAGGCUUAACCUU